This 489-nucleotide ribosomal RNA is filed under the name uncultured bacterium. Its description in RNAcentral is "partial 16S ribosomal RNA". It matches the Rfam family "Bacterial small subunit ribosomal RNA", at positions 30 to 507 of the family's 1533-position model. The record is from RNAcentral.
AUUGAACGCUGGCGGCAGGCCUAACACAUGCAAGUCGAACGGUAACAGGAAGCAGCUUGCUGCUUCGCUGACGAGUGGCGGACGGGUGAGUAAUGUCUGGGAAGCUGCCUGAUGAGGGGGAUAACUACUGGAAACGGUAGCUAAUACCGCAUAAUGUCGCAAGACCAAAGAGGGGGACCUUCGGGCCUCUUGCCAUCGGAUGUGCCCAGAUGGGAUUAGCUUGUUGGUGGGGUAACGGCUCACCAAGGCGACGAUCCCUAGCUGGUCUGAGAGGAUGACCAGCCACAAUGGAACUGAGACACGGUCCAGACUCCUACGGGAGGCAGCAGUGGGGAAUAUUGCACAAUGGGCGCAAGCCUGAUGCAGCCAUGCCGCGUGUAUGAAGAAGGCCUUCGGGUUGUAAAGUACUUUCAGCGGGGAGGAAGGGAGUAAAGUUAAUACCUUUGCUCAUUGACGUUACCCGCAGAAGAAGCACCGGCUAACUCCGUG